This 280-nucleotide ribosomal RNA is filed under the name uncultured bacterium. RNAcentral's name for it is "partial 16S ribosomal RNA". It matches the Rfam family "Bacterial small subunit ribosomal RNA", at positions 506 to 784 of the family's 1533-position model. The record is from RNAcentral.
UGCCAGCAGCCGCGGUAAUACAUAGGGGUCAAGCGUUGUCCGGAUUUAUUGGGCGUAAAGAGCUCGUAGGCGGUUCAACAAGUCGGUCGUAAAAGUUUAGGGCUCAACCCUAAAAUGUCGAUCGAUACUGUUGUGACUAGGAUACGGUAGAGGUAAGUGGAAUUUCUAGUGUAGAGGUGAAAUUCGUAGAUAUUAGAAAGAACACCAAAUGCGAAGGCAACUUACUGGGUCACUACUGACACUGAGGAGCGAAAGCAUGGGUAGCGAAGAGGAUUAGAUA